ACAGCCUUGGGACAUGGACCCCGGCAACCCCACCAAAGUCCCCUUGGCUGCGGGGAGUCGCAGCAGGAGGGUUACCCUCUGCCUUUUCCCUUGGGACCGGGCGAGCCAGAUUAGUGGAGGGGCAGCUCGGUCCAGAGCGCACGUCGGAGAUCCGUGGAGGUUUGGGGCGGCGGUUUUUGGAGCCCGGAUCUUUGCAGGGCACUGUUGACCCCCAGCGCUGCGGGCAGAGGUGGCUUUGGGCAGGGGCAUCGUGCUCCUUUCUACGCGUCAAAAAAAAGCCGUGCUGAACAGAUCGCUCAGAUCUUGACACCUUCCUGAGAGAUCAGACGGCAUCGCUGGGGUGAGACUCAGUCCUGUCUCCCAGAGCUUGUCGAGAGAGAUGAUGGCAGAAAGCGAUGAGUCAAGAGCAAUCAGAUCAAGAGGGUCAUUUCACAGACACACCAACAUGGCUGGGAGCAUUUUCUGAUCCUUUCCCUCUUCAAACUGCAGGAUGAGUUAUCUUUGCUGAGUGUGUUCAAACUAACCUUGGAAAAGGGCUGUGAAAGGGCCUGGAAAUGGUGUUUUAGCUUCUGCAGGGGAUGAGAGACAUACAGACAAAGCAUCACUGCAGCCACAACCUCUUGUCACAGCCCCACAGCACAGCACCAUGCAAAUACUCAUCUUUGUGAGACCUACCUGGCUGGCCAAGGACUCAGCUUUUCCCUGCCAUCCCUGAUUCCCACUGCCCAAUAUUCCUCAGCCACACUCAGGACAUGGAUCUGGCAUGCUGUAUCUAUGAAAACUGUGUUUAUUUUAUGUAUUUGCCUGUGUGCUGUUUGUCUACUAAAUUAGGAAUAAGGCUCUUUGAAAUUGCCAAGUUUCACUCUCUGAGCACAUCUUCUGUUUCUGCACUCAUGGCUGCUGUCUGCCAGCUAAGGAUUCCCUGCAAACAAUUCCUUAUUCUCCUGUUGCACUGAUCUAUUGCUUGUGAAGGAUUCCCAGAGCAAACCUUCCUAAUGCUGAUGUUCAGCCAAGGACAAGGGCUAGUUUUAACACUAUGUAACCUAAUUUACAGUGUGUUUCUUUGCCUUCAAAAGGAGCUUUAAGCUCCUUUGCCAGUGUCA
This is a long non-coding RNA of Serinus canaria (Common canary), 1103 nucleotides long. RefSeq lists it as uncharacterized. The record is from RefSeq and is a predicted model, not a curated record. NCBI's taxonomy places the organism in Eukaryota, Metazoa, Chordata, Aves, Passeriformes, Fringillidae. The transcript is spliced from 3 exons.